Molecule: ribosomal RNA, 585 nt
Filed under: uncultured bacterium
Lineage: Bacteria
Description: partial 16S ribosomal RNA
Rfam family: Bacterial small subunit ribosomal RNA
Source: RNAcentral
UGGGGAAUUUUGGACAAUGGGCGAAAGCCUGAUCCGGCAAUGCCGCGUGUGUGAAGAAGGCCUUCGGGUUGUAAAGCACUUUUGUCCGGAAAGAAAUCCUUGGCUCUAAUACAGUCGGGGGAUGACGGUACCGGAAGAAUAAGCACCGGCUAACUACGUGCCAGCAGCCGCGGUAAUACGUAGGGUGCAAGCGUUAAUCGGAAUUACUGGGCGUAAAGCGUGCGCAGGCGGUUUGCUAAGACCGAUGUGAAAUCCCCGGGCUCAACCUGGGAACUGCAUUGGUGACUGGCAGGCUAGAGUAUGGCAGAGGGGGGUAGAAUUCCACGUGUAGCAGUGAAAUGCGUAGAGAUGUGGAGGAAUACCGAUGGCGAAGGCAGCCCCCUGGGCCAAUACUGACGCUCAUGCACGAAAGCGUGGGGAGCAAACAGGAUUAGAUACCCUGGUAGUCCACGCCCUAAACGAUGUCAACUAGUUGUUGGGGAUUCAUUUCCUUAGUAACGUAGCUAACGCGUGAAGUUGACCGCCUGGGGAGUACGGUCGCAAGAUUAAAACUCAAAUGAAUUGACGGGGUCAUAGCUGUUUCCU